UACGUAGGGACCGAGCGUUGUCCGGAAUCAUUGGGCGUAAAGAGCGUGUAGGCGGCUAUUUAAGUCCUGCGUGAAAUCCUGCGGCUCAACCGCAGACGGUCGUGGGAAACUGGAUGGCUAGAGUGCGGGAGAGGAGAGUGGAACUGCGAGUGUAGAGGUGAAAUUCGUAGAUAUUCGCAAGAACACCAGUGGCGAAGGCGGCUCACUGGCCCGAUACUGACGCUGAGGCACGAAAGCGUGGGGAGCAAACAGG
This 253-nucleotide ribosomal RNA is filed under the name uncultured bacterium. RNAcentral describes it as "partial 16S ribosomal RNA". It matches the Rfam family "Bacterial small subunit ribosomal RNA", at positions 524 to 776 of the family's 1533-position model. The record is from RNAcentral.